GACGAACGCUGGCGGCGUGCUUAACACAUGCAAGUCGAACGGUGAAGCGCCUUCCUUUUUGGUGGGUGUGGAUGAGUGGCGAACGGGUGAGUAACACGUGAGUAACCUGCCCCCUUCUUCUGGAUAACCGCAUGAAAGUGUGGCUAAUACGGGAUAUUCUGGGUCUGUCGCAUGAUGGGUCUAGGAAAGAUAUUGUUUCGGUGGGGGAUGGGCUCGCGGCCUAUCAGCUUGUUGGUGGGGUGAUGGCCUACCAAGGCGGUGACGGGUAGCCGGCCUGAGAGGGUGGACGGUCACACUGGGACUGAGACACGGCCCAGACUCCUACGGGAGGCAGCAGUGGGGAAUAUUGCACAAUGGGCGCAAGCCUGAUGCAGCGACGCCGCGUGAGGGAUGGAGGCCUUCGGGUUGUGAACCUCUUUCGCCAGUGAAGCAGGCCUGCCUCGUUUGUGGGUGGGUUGACGGUAGCUGGAUAAGAAGCGCCGGCUAACUACGUG
RNAcentral lists this ribosomal RNA (494 nucleotides) under uncultured bacterium. Its description in RNAcentral is "partial 16S ribosomal RNA". It matches the Rfam family "Bacterial small subunit ribosomal RNA", at positions 28 to 507 of the family's 1533-position model. The record is from RNAcentral.